RNAcentral lists this long non-coding RNA (477 nucleotides) under Triticum aestivum (bread wheat). Its description in RNAcentral is "long non-coding RNA (TAES_LNC002314)". The record is from RNAcentral. Lineage: Eukaryota; Viridiplantae; Streptophyta; Magnoliopsida; Poales; Poaceae.
CCGAGUUCCCGAGAACUGCUUCAAACAACCUGCUGAGAAGGGUCCUGAGGGAUCAGCUCAAGAAAGAACUCGCGAAUCGCAGCAAGCUAUAAGGGGCCUGAGGGAUAUCUAUUCCUUUUCAACAGGAAAAUGGAUCUUCAUAAUCCAAGUUUAUUGAACUCACGGCGUGUUACAACGGUUCGAUUCCCUUUCAUUCACUUCAUUGGGGGUGUAGAUUCAGAACACUUGUUAUUGUAUUGUAUGUGUUGAGCUCGUCAGAAGUAAUGAGGCGAUGGCUUGCUAUUGUAUUGUAUGUGUUGGGCUCGUCGGAAGUAAUGAGGCGAUGGCUUGAUAAAAUCAGAUCACUCUGUAUGUUUUAAGGUUUAUAAGCCACCAUAUUUUCUUACGUUUUCUCCUUACAUCUUUGUAAGACAAGAUGAGCUGCAUUAUGUAGUGUCAGAUCAAAGUUCAGAUAUGUUAUUUUUCGUUACUCUUGCA